Molecule: ribosomal RNA, 253 nt
Filed under: uncultured bacterium
Lineage: Bacteria
Description: partial 16S ribosomal RNA
Rfam family: Bacterial small subunit ribosomal RNA
Source: RNAcentral
UACGUAGGGCGCAAGCGUUAUCCGGAAUUAUUGGGCGUAAAGAGCUCGUAGGCGGUUUGUCGCGUCUGCCGUGAAAGUCCGGGGCUCAACUCCGGAUCUGCGGUGGGUACGGGCAGACUAGAGUGAUGUAGGGGAGACUGGAAUUCCUGGUGUAGCGGUGAAAUGCGCAGAUAUCAGGAGGAACACCGAUGGCGAAGGCAGGUCUCUGGGCUGUAACUGACGCUGAGGAGCGAAAGCAUGGGGAGCGAACAGG